GACGAACGCUGGCGGCGUGCUUAACACAUGCAAGUCGAACGGAAAGGCCCUGCUUUUGUGGGGUGCUCGAGUGGCGAACGGGUGAGUAACACGUGAGUAACCUGCCCUUGACUUUGGGAUAACUUCAGGAAACUGGGGCUAAUACCGGAUAGGAGCUCCUGCUGCAUGGUGGGGGUUGGAAAGUUUCGGCGGUUGGGGAUGGACUCGCGGCUUAUCAGCUUGUUGGUGGGGUAGUGGCUUACCAAGGCUUUGACGGGUAGCCGGCCUGAGAGGGUGACCGGCAAAAUGGGGACUGAGAUACGGCCCAGACUCCAAGGGGGGGCAGAAGGGGGGAAUAUUGCACAAUGGGCGGAAGCCUGAUGCAGCAACGCCGCGUGCGGGAUGACGGCCUUCGGGUUGUAAACCGCUUUCGCCUGUGACGAAGCGUGAGUGACGGUAAUGGGUAAAGAAGCACCGGCUAACUACGUG
Molecule: ribosomal RNA, 468 nt
Filed under: uncultured bacterium
Lineage: Bacteria
Description: partial 16S ribosomal RNA
Rfam family: Bacterial small subunit ribosomal RNA
Source: RNAcentral